GAUUAUGGCUCAGGAUUAACGCUGGCGGCGCACAUAAGACAUGCAAGUCGAACGGACUUAAUCGAUUCUUUUAGAUUCGAAGCGGUUAGUGGCGGACUGGUGAGUAACACGUAAGGAACCUGCCUAUUAGAGGGGAAUAACAACGAGAAAUCGUUGCUAAUACCGCAUAAGCUAGUAGUACCGCAUGGUACAGCUAGAAAAGGNGAAAUCCACUAAUAGAUGGCCUUGCGUCCGAUUAGCUAGUUGGUGGGG
Molecule: ribosomal RNA, 252 nt
Filed under: uncultured bacterium
Lineage: Bacteria
Description: partial 16S ribosomal RNA
Rfam family: Bacterial small subunit ribosomal RNA
Source: RNAcentral